RNAcentral lists this ribosomal RNA (379 nucleotides) under uncultured cyanobacterium. RNAcentral's name for it is "bacterial SSU rRNA". It matches the Rfam family "Bacterial small subunit ribosomal RNA", at positions 376 to 770 of the family's 1533-position model. The record is from RNAcentral. Lineage: Bacteria; Bacillati; Cyanobacteriota.
GGCAACCCUGACGGAGCAACGCCGCGUGCGGGAAGACGGCCUGUGGGUUGUAAACCGCUUUUCUCAGGGAAGAAGAACUGACGGUACCUGAGGAAUCAGCAUCGGCUAACUCCGUGCCAGCAGCCGCGGUAAUACGGAGGAUGCAAGCGUUAUCCGGAAUUAUUGGGCGUAAAGCGUCCGUAGGUGGUUAUUCAAGUCUGCUGUCAAAGCGUGGGGCUUAACUCCAUAGAGGCAGUGGAAACUGGUUGACUAGAGUGCGGUAGGGGUCGAGGGAAUUCCCAGUGUAGCGGUGAAAUGCGUAGAUAUUGGGAAGAACACCAGUGGCGAAAGCGCUCGACUGGGCCUGCACUGACACUGAGGGACGAAAGCUAGGGGAGCG